UACAGAGGGGGCAAGCGUUGUUCGGAAUUACUGGGCGUAAAGGGCGCGUAGGCGGCCUUCUAAGUCGAACGUGAAAUCCCUGGGCUCAACCCAGGAACUGCGUCCGAUACUGGAAGGCUUGAAUCCGGGAGAGGGAUGCGGAAUUCCAGGUGUAGCGGUGAAAUGCGCAGAUAUCAGGAAGAACACCUAUGGCGAAGGCAGCUCUCUGGGACGGUACUGACGCUGAGACGCGAAAGCGUGGGGAGCGAACAGG
Molecule: ribosomal RNA, 253 nt
Filed under: uncultured bacterium
Lineage: Bacteria
Description: partial 16S ribosomal RNA
Rfam family: Bacterial small subunit ribosomal RNA
Source: RNAcentral